CUCACGUGACCCUGUUCUACGACAGAGACGUCUCUGAAUGGUACCAGGAACCUUUCCUUUCCACUUUGGAGGAAACAACCUGGGAGCACCAAGCAAAAGAAUUGGGCCCAAUGAUGAAACGCUCCCUGGCAGCCACAGAUUGGAUUGCGACAGCAGUGCCAGGUGGACUCUGAGAGACCCCU
This is a long non-coding RNA of Xiphophorus maculatus (southern platyfish), 182 nucleotides long. RefSeq lists it as uncharacterized. NCBI's taxonomy places the organism in Eukaryota, Metazoa, Chordata, Actinopteri, Cyprinodontiformes, Poeciliidae. The transcript is spliced from 3 exons. The record is from RefSeq and is a predicted model, not a curated record.